RNAcentral lists this long non-coding RNA (1252 nucleotides) under Homo sapiens (human). Its description in RNAcentral is "PPP4R3B divergent transcript, transcript variant 2 (PPP4R3B-DT)". The record is from RNAcentral. Lineage: Eukaryota; Metazoa; Chordata; Mammalia; Primates; Hominidae.
GUCAUGUUGUUGGAUGGCACCAGUAUGUGACGUUCCUAGGAACUUAGCUCUGAGGAAAAAACAAAGCAAACCGGGGAAGUACGUAGCCUUGAACCGGAGUAACCAGGGACAGAAAGGAAGGAAAAGGGUUUCAUACCUUCACGGAACGACGCUCACUUCGUCCGCCUGAGGAGGAAAAAUAAGUUUAAACCUUUCUGUGAAAAAGAACGUGGAGCCCUUUCUGCCGAAUGGAAACCCGCUAAACCCCGUUAUGGAGUCUGCUACAAUUAAGCAUCUAACCAGGAAUUGUCUAUGGACACAACUCUCCAGGCAAUUCAUGCAGAAAGUGUGUUGACGAUUUCCUGUUUCUUGCAGAGCGCUUCACCGUUAAGGCUCUUAGUAGCUGGCGAUUGUAAAGCACAUUUUCCGCUUCAUGAAAAUACAGUGCUCUUCUUGUGUUUGUAACCUUGGAAAUCUCAACUCUCAUGAGUCUGGAAUUUUGCAAAAGCCUGAUAAACUUGUCACAUGAUUCCAGUGUCUACCCAUUCCUUGUAAGUAACCAAGAUAUUCUUGCCUGAUUAAAUGCUUUGAAAAUAUCAUCUUAGGCCAGGCGCAGUGGCUCACACCUGUAAGCCCAACACUUUGGGAGGCUGAGGUGGGCGGAUCACUUGAUGUCAUGAGUUCGAGACCAGCCUGGCCAAUAUGGUGUAACCCCGUCUCUACUAAAAAUACAAAACUUAGCUGGGUGUAGUGGCGGGCGCCUGUAGUCCCAGCUACUCGGGAGGCUGAGGCAGGAGAAUAGCUUGGACCCGGGAGGUGGAGGUUGCAGGGAGGUGGAGGUUGCAGGGAGGUGGAGGUUGCAGUGAGCUGAGAUCACGCCACUGUGCUACAGCCUGGGCGACACAGUGAGACUCCGUCUCAAAAAAAGAAAAAAAAAAAAAUAUCAUAUUGUAUUGGCCAUCCCUUGUUUCAUAUUCGUUAAUAAACUUUGCUACUUUGCUUUCUAAUUUCGGUGAAGAACAAGCACAAGAUUAAGGAGUAAGACUAUGUGAAACUGGGUUAUAAAUUGAAAGGCUGUUGGCUGUUGUAUCUUGUAAACAAUUCAACGCAAUGCCAAGUGAAAAUGAAGUUGUUAGUCCCUCUAUCUAGAAUUCUUUCCCAAAUAGCUGCAUAUCUUUUUCCUCUGCUUCAUUUAAGUCUGUGCUGAAAUGUUAUCUACUCAGAGAAGACAUUCUGGAUCAUUUCAUAUUAAAUAGUAACUUUUAUCACUCUA